AUGUGUGGAAAAGAAGCUACAGGAUUGUCAACAACAACAACAAAAAAAGUCAAGGAAAUUGGAUUACUCUUUUUCUCAACUACUAAGGUUAUAAUGGCACACAAAAUGAGCAUUCCACUGCAGUUUCGAUACAGUGGAAAGCAACCAACAGAAAGAGGUCUGCCUGCAGGUCAGUGUAGGACUGCCCAUCUAAGCAGAGAAGAAAUGAGGUCACACCUUUCUGCUGCUUCACCACAAUCUGCCUGGGGUCAGGCCAGCUACACGGAGGGCCCUCCACAUCCAGACCACCCCCUUCUUUGGGGGACAGUUUUACAACAGGAGAAAUAGACUAUGUGAGGAGAAAUGAAACGACCGCAGCGUUAGAUUUACCACAGCGUUUAAGUGUAGAAUGAAAUUUACAAGUUUCCCUUAUACAGUGCCAUGUCAUCGAUACUGUAGACUGUACAGGGGGGUGGCUGAAAUACUAAUUAACAGACCAUAUGUGAUUAUUGUACCUCGUUUAAGUCGUAAAAGUCUAUAUCUUAUGUGGAUCAGGUCCCUCGAGUGAAUUAGUUGUGUCUCAGGUGUUAUAGAACAUGAUCAUCAAAGGUACAGAAUGAACAUAUAUAUACAGCUCUGGAAAAAAAUAAUAGACCACUUCAGUUUCUGAAUCAGUUUCUCUGAUUUUGCUAUUUAUAACUAUAUGUUUGAGUAAAAUUAAUAUUGUUAUUUUUUUUCUAUAAACGACAGACAACAUUUC
Molecule: long non-coding RNA, 739 nt
Filed under: Astyanax mexicanus (Mexican tetra)
Lineage: Eukaryota; Metazoa; Chordata; Actinopteri; Characiformes; Acestrorhamphidae
Description: lncRNA (ENSAMXG00005017178.1)
Source: RNAcentral